This 1866-nucleotide ribosomal RNA is filed under the name Triticum aestivum (bread wheat). RNAcentral's name for it is "partial small subunit ribosomal RNA". The record is from RNAcentral. Lineage: Eukaryota; Viridiplantae; Streptophyta; Magnoliopsida; Poales; Poaceae.
AUGAAGCGCGAGUACCAGGACGCCGGAGGGAGCGGCGGUGGCGGGGGAGGCAUGGGCUCGUCCGAGGACAAGAUGAUGGUGUCGGGGUCGGCGGCGGCGGGGGAGGGGGAGGAGGUGGACGAGCUGCUGGCGGCGCUCGGGUACAAGGUGCGGGCGUCCGACAUGGCGGACGUGGCGCAGAAGCUGGAGCAGCUGGAGAUGGCCAUGGGGAUGGGCGGCGUGGGCGCCGGCGCCGCGCCCGACGACAGCUUCGCCACCCACCUCGCCACGGACACCGUGCACUACAACCCCACCGACCUCUCCUCCUGGGUCGAGAGCAUGCUGUCGGAGCUCAACGCGCCGCCGCCGCCCCUCCCGCCCGCCCCGCAGCUCAACGCCUCCACCUCCUCCACCGUCACCGGCGGCGGGUACUUCGAUCUCCCGCCCUCCGUCGACUCCUCCUGCAGCACCUACGCGCUGCGGCCGAUCCCGUCCCCGGCCGUCGCGCCGGCCGACCUCUCCGCCGACUCCGUCGUGCGGGAUCCCAAGCGGAUGCGCACUGGCGGCAGCAGCACCUCGUCGUCAUCCUCAUCGUCCUCUCUCGGCGGUGGCGGCGCCAGGAGCUCUGUGGUGGAGGCUGCCCCGCCGGUGGCCGCCGCGGCCGGUGCGCCCGCGCUGCCGGUCGUCGUGGUCGACACGCAGGAGGCCGGGAUUCGGCUGGUGCACGCGCUGCUGGCGUGCGCAGAGGCCGUGCAGCAGGAGAACUUCUCUGCCGCGGAGGCGCUGGUGAAGCAGAUACCCUUGCUGGCCGCGUCCCAGGGCGGCGCCAUGCGCAAGGUCGCCGCCUACUUCGGCGAGGCCCUCGCCCGCCGCGUCUUCCGCUUCCGCCCGCAGCCGGACAGCUCCCUCCUCGACGCCGCCUUCGCCGACCUCCUCCACGCGCACUUCUACGAGUCCUGCCCCUACCUCAAGUUCGCCCACUUCACCGCCAACCAGGCCAUCCUGGAGGCGUUCGCCGGCUGCCGCCGCGUGCACGUCGUCGACUUCGGCAUCAAGCAGGGGAUGCAGUGGCCCGCCCUUCUCCAGGCCCUGGCGCUCCGUCCCGGCGGCCCUCCCUCGUUCCGCCUCACCGGCGUCGGCCCCCCGCAGCCGGACGAGACCGACGCCUUGCAGCAGGUGGGCUGGAAGCUCGCCCAGUUCGCGCACACCAUCCGCGUCGACUUCCAGUACCGCGGCCUCGUCGCCGCCACGCUCGCGGACCUGGAGCCGUUCAUGCUGCAGCCGGAGGGCGAGGAGGACCCGAACGAGGAGCCCGAGGUAAUCGCCGUCAACUCGGUCUUCGAGAUGCACCGGCUGCUCGCGCAGCCCGGCGCCCUGGAGAAGGUCCUGGGCACCGUGCGCGCCGUGCGGCCGAGGAUCGUCACCGUGGUGGAGCAGGAGGCGAACCACAACUCCGGCACAUUCCUGGACCGCUUCACCGAGUCCCUGCACUACUACUCCACCAUGUUCGAUUCUCUGGAGGGCGGCAGCUCCGGCGGCCCAUCCGAAGUCUCAUCUGGGGCGGCUGCUGCUCCUGCCGCCGCCGGCACGGACCAGGUCAUGUCCGAGGUGUACCUCGGCCGGCAGAUCUGCAACGUGGUGGCCUGCGAGGGGGCGGAGCGCACAGAGCGGCACGAGACCCUGGGGCAGUGGCGGAACCGCCUCGGCAACGCCGGGUUCGAGACCGUCCACCUGGGCUCCAAUGCCUACAAGCAGGCGAGCACGCUGCUGGCGCUCUUCGCAGGCGGCGACGGGUACAAGGUGGAGGAGAAGGAGGGCUGCCUGACGCUGGGGUGGCACACGCGCCCGCUGAUCGCCACCUCCGCAUGGCGCCUGGCCGCGCCGUGA